CCAUACAGACUGCCUGUCGCCAUACUCCCAGCUGGGACUGCUCAUCGAAGAGGGGACAGGAUUAUAAAAAGAAGGGGCAGACACCCCAGGGCAUCCCACCUCCUUCCUCUUAUUGUGUCCAUUAAUUCACUACAUGAAAAGGGAAAAGGAAGCACCAAUAACACAGAAGAAGGGGUCCUGGCCUAAGAAGUUUGGCCAGUAAGACUGCUGAGAACAUGUGGGCAGAGAAUUGAACCUGGAUCUCCAGAGUGCCAACCUAGCACCUUCGCACCUUAACCAUUGGACCACCCUUCCUCUUUAAUGCAGCUGUGUAGUCUAGAUGAAAUUAGUGGGACUACCUGGGUGCACAAAGUUAACAUGAUUAAGCUUCUGUUCUGAAGAUUUUACAAGAUACUUACGAGUGAAGUUGUCUGCAUUAGGAAGGGUUUUUGCUGCUGGACAGUAUUGCCACACAACGUCGUCAAUAGGUCCCUCUGUAAUUAACAGCGGUUGU
Molecule: long non-coding RNA, 493 nt
Organism: Trachemys scripta elegans
Lineage: Eukaryota; Metazoa; Chordata; Testudines; Emydidae
Exons: 3
Source: RefSeq, a predicted model, not a curated record